AAGUUCACCAACUGAGCACUACUUACCUGAUAAACCAUUUUCCACACGUCUUUGAUGUUCUCGCUGCCUCUACCAAACUGCGAUUCCUAUGACAGUUUUUUCCUUCACCUGCUGCCGCUGUAGCAGGUUUCUAUGAAAUCCUUCUUUGUAAGAAUUUUCACUUCAAAGAAAUUCUAUUCUCUUCCUUUUAACACCUUUCCUUGGCAUUGUAGGCAGUAAGAUGAGGAGAGGACCAAACCAAAAGAAAAAAAGCGGGGUGGG
Phyllostomus discolor (pale spear-nosed bat) is the source of this 261-nucleotide long non-coding RNA. RefSeq lists it as uncharacterized. Lineage: Eukaryota; Metazoa; Chordata; Mammalia; Chiroptera; Phyllostomidae. The record is from RefSeq and is a predicted model, not a curated record. The transcript is spliced from 2 exons.